Passer domesticus (house sparrow) is the source of this 285-nucleotide long non-coding RNA. RefSeq lists it as uncharacterized. The record is from RefSeq and is a predicted model, not a curated record. The transcript is spliced from 3 exons. Lineage: Eukaryota; Metazoa; Chordata; Aves; Passeriformes; Passeridae.
CAGGCGUGUCUGCAGGGACGACCUCACCAACUCCUACCUUGGAUGCUGCACAAAAGCCCAGCUCCCAUGGCAGGGGUCCUCUGACAGGAGAGACCAAAGACAUGGCAGGCAGGAAAUUCCAGGACCCAUUAGAAAUCAUGUGGCAAAUGCUGAAGGAACGUCUGCAGAGAAGACAAGAAAUGAAAGGAGAGCCUGCGGAGAAAGAAGCAUUUCCCGGAGGAAGCAGUGGUUGCAUGCCAGCCUCAGCUCCAGGAAGGGAGGCCAUGCCAGGCACAGGCACAGGAG